UACGGGGGGAGCAAGCGUUGUUCGGAUUUACUGGGCGUAAAGGGCGCGUAGGCGGCCACCGCAAGUCGGUUGUGAAAUCUCUGGGCUUAACCCAGAAAGGUCAACCGAUACUGCGGGGCUAGAGUGCAGAAGGGGCAACUGGAAUUCUCGGUGUAGCGGUGAAAUGCGUAGAUAUCGAGAGGAACACCGGUGGCGAAGGCGGGUCUCUGGGCAGUAACUGACGCUGAGGAGCGAAAGCGUGGGGAGCGAACAGG
Molecule: ribosomal RNA, 254 nt
Filed under: uncultured bacterium
Lineage: Bacteria
Description: partial 16S ribosomal RNA
Rfam family: Bacterial small subunit ribosomal RNA
Source: RNAcentral